UACAGAGGUCCCAAGCGUUAUCCGGAUUCACUGGGCUUAAAGGGUGCGUAGGCGGCGCGGUAAGUCGGGUGUGAAAUCUCGGAGCUUAACUCCGAAACUGCAUUCGAUACUGCCGUGCUUGAGGACUGGAGAGGAGACUGGAAUUUACGGUGUAGCGGUGAAAUGCGUAGAUAUCGUAAGGAAGACCAGUGGCGAAGGCGGGUCUCUGGACAGUUCCUGACGCUGAGGCACGAAGGUCAGGGGAGCAAACGGG
RNAcentral lists this ribosomal RNA (253 nucleotides) under uncultured bacterium. RNAcentral's name for it is "partial 16S ribosomal RNA". It matches the Rfam family "Bacterial small subunit ribosomal RNA", at positions 524 to 776 of the family's 1533-position model. The record is from RNAcentral.